Molecule: ribosomal RNA, 425 nt
Filed under: uncultured bacterium
Lineage: Bacteria
Description: partial 16S ribosomal RNA
Rfam family: Bacterial small subunit ribosomal RNA
Source: RNAcentral
GUGGGGAAUCUUGCGCAAUGGGCGAAAGCCUGACGCAGCCAUGCCGCGUGAAUGAUGAAGGUCUUAGGAUUGUAAAAUUCUUUCACCGGGGACGAUAAUGACGGUACCCGGAGAAGAAGCCCCGGCUAACUUCGUGCCAGCAGCCGCGGUAAUACGAAGGGGGCUAGCGUUGCUCGGAAUUACUGGGCGUAAAGGGCGCGUAGGCGGAUCGUUAAGUCAGGGGUGAAAUCCCAGAGCUCAACUCUGGAACUGCCCUUGAUACUGGCGAUCUUGAGUGUGAGAGAGGUAUGUGGAACUCCGAGUGUAGAGGUGAAAUUCGUAGAUAUUCGGAAGAACACCAGUGGCGAAGGCGACUCACUGGCUCAUUACUGACGCUGAGGCUCGAAAGCGUGGGGAGCAAACAGGAUUAGAAACCCGGGUAGUCC